RNAcentral lists this long non-coding RNA (425 nucleotides) under Bos taurus (domestic cattle). Its description in RNAcentral is "long non-coding RNA NONBTAT027073". The record is from RNAcentral. Lineage: Eukaryota; Metazoa; Chordata; Mammalia; Artiodactyla; Bovidae.
GUAUUCACACCUCCAUUUAUUUACAAAAGUCGCUGUUUCUAGAAUGCCCUCACCCUCUCUGAAACAGCAUCCCUCAGAAAUACCAUGGUGUGCUUUGGUUAAACCAGUGCUCAUCUCGUUAUCAACCAAACGGUAGCUGAUCAUUAAAAGCAUAAAGGAUGUGCCGGCCUCGUGAAAAAUUAAAGAGCUGCCGGCUUCAUAGAAGCCUGGCAUCUUAAAGACCUCUCCAGCCAUCUUCUGAUAUUAACUAUAGAAGAAAGGAUAAACGGGCAGCUGAGAUUUGAAAUAUUAAAGAUUGCUUAUUGUUGCACGACCUGCAAUGGAAAGCCCAGGACUGCUGUUUUGAGAAACUUAUGAUCCGCCCUCAGUCCUGGCCAACUCCUUCCUACAGAUGGCUUAGAAUAAAUUGAAAGGUUUUACCCAUU